RNAcentral lists this unclassified non-coding RNA (317 nucleotides) under fungal sp. Its description in RNAcentral is "partial internal transcribed spacer region". The stretch from base 1 to 45 matches the Rfam family "Eukaryotic small subunit ribosomal RNA", at positions 1787 to 1831 of the family's 1831-position model. Lineage: Eukaryota; Fungi. The record is from RNAcentral.
AGUCGUAACAAGGUUUCCGUAGGUGAACCUGCGGAAGGAUCAUUAACAAAUCGGUCUGUGGUUUCACGUUAGACAUGCAUGAGUGAUGUGUACACUUGUAUAUGUGUGAGUGAGUGAUCAUAUCAUGUAUGAUGUGUACACUUGUAUAUGUAUGAGUGAUCAUAUCAUAUCACUCAUAUCAUGUCUAACGUGGGACUGCUGGACAUUGGCGCUUCGCCGCUUGGCGAGUGCAUGAACGCUUUAUUGUCGGUUGAUGGUAGUGUGGGCUAGUAAAUAGUAAAUAACGAUCACUUUUAACAAUGGAUCUCUUGGCUCCU